CUGCUCACUUCAGCAGCACAGAUACUAAAAAUUGAAAUGAUACAGAGAUGAUUAACAUGGCCCUUGCAUGAGUAUGAACUGACAUCAUCAAAAUGUGGUGGUACAUACCUUU
Molecule: small nuclear RNA, 112 nt
Organism: Jaculus jaculus (lesser Egyptian jerboa)
Lineage: Eukaryota; Metazoa; Chordata; Mammalia; Rodentia; Dipodidae
Source: Ensembl